AUGAGGAGUCAUGUUUGUCUCUUUUUUAAAACAGUGAAAACAGCUGGUUACCCUAAAGCCCUACCUGAUGUCCUUGACAGACAUCUCAUUGGAGAAAGUUGCCUCUGCGAGGGAGAGGAGUUCCUAACACCUGCUCAGCCCACACAGCACCACCAUGACCAGCUCCACCUGACUGCUGUGAAAGGCCCCUUUGAGCAGCUCCAAGAUCAGGUGCAGGAAGACCCUUGAUAAUACACAUGUGCACCAGAGACCCUCUAGGUCAGAUGCUGGCACUCUAGAAGGAAGCGUCCUCAAAUUCCUGCUCUGGCUCUCAUGCUGAAGUCUCUGGGAACGCCUUUAUGGGACCUUAGGUACGUUGGCACUGCCUUCUAAACUUAUGUUGUUUCAGUCUGCAUCUCAUGCAUUCCCUAACCCCCAGAAACUAUGAUAUUGUGUUUUUUACUUAAUUACUCAUUUAUAGGAUCUAGAAAUACAGUGUAUUUGUUAAUCUUGUAUACUACAACUUUGCUAAGUUAUUAGUUCUCGGAGUUUGUUUAUAGAUUCUUUGGAAUUUUCUAUAUAGACAAUACCUGCAAAUAGAGGAGGGGGUUUAUUUCCUCUUCUGUGGUUUGUUUCCUUUUCUUGGCUUAUUGUGUGGGUUAGAACCUCCAGAACUAUCUUGAAGACUGGUGAUGGUUGUGGGCACCCUUGCCUUGUUCCUAAUCUUUGGUGGAAAAUUUUGUCUUUUAUAAGUGAGAUAUUUGCUGCAAGUUUUUUCUUUUUAGGGCCACACCUGUGGCAUAUAGAUGUUCUCUCCCAGGGUAGGGGUGGAAUGGGAGCUGUAGCAGCCGGCCUACGCACAGCAAUGUCAGAUCCCAGAUACAUCUGUAACCUAACAUCACUGCUUGUGGCAAUGCUGGAUCCUUGAACUCACUGAGCAAGGCCAGGGGACAAACCUGCUCCUCGUGGAUAUUAAUCAGGUUCUUAAACUACUGAGCUACAAUAGGAACUCUUAAUUUUACAGUUUUGAACUAGCUUUGUAUACUUGGAAUAAAAACUGCUUUAUCACAAUGUAUAAUAUUUAA
RNAcentral lists this long non-coding RNA (1064 nucleotides) under Sus scrofa (pig). RNAcentral's name for it is "lncRNA (ENSSSCG00060015632.1)". The record is from RNAcentral. Lineage: Eukaryota; Metazoa; Chordata; Mammalia; Artiodactyla; Suidae.